AUGCUCAGCCAGCCACUCUUUCUUUCUUCCAAAGGGUGGGAGGAGAUUUAUUUUGUAACCAACCAUGUAUUGGAUCUGGCCGGCCUUUGGCCCCCCCCCACCCCGCAGUCACUCCUGGCAGCUUGUCUGGUGCUGCCUCGCUGUUCUCUGGCCUCGGGCGGCCACCCCAAAAGACUCAGCAGGACGCCUGGAGCUGUAGGAAGAGAACAGCCAGGCCCUCCCCUGGGCUCCCUGCCCUCCCACAGCGACCCUCCCGACCCCUGCUGCUGCCCACUGCCUGUUUUUAUGGCUAGCUUUCUUUGUCUGGCCCGCGGGGGCCCUGCUGUGCCACCAGGCCCUGUCCUGCCUGGGCAGGGCUCCCCGGAGGUGGCAGUCACACCCCGGAUAGGGUGGCACCGGGGCACUGCUAGGGGACGGUGCCCGCUCCCCUGCUGCCUUCCCUCAGGGAUUUUCCUCCUGGGAUCUCGCUCAGCCCCGAGCCAGCUCCCUCGGCUGCCGUGCCCCUUCCCCAGCAGGGCACACAAAGGUUCCCCAGCUCAGGGACCCCCGCAGGGUGGCCGUGCUGCAGGGCCAGGCAGGCUUAGGGGUGGUUUGGAUCCCCUCCCAGCCCUGCAAGAAUCCCAAAAAGUAGCGUGGUGCCAAAGCUGCUCCAUCCUGAAAGGGAGGCAGAACUGCUCAGGCUGCUGUCCCCAAGUGCCACCGUGCAUCUCGUGCACUGCAGGGAGGACGUUCCCUCUCUGGCACCACAGCCCCUGCAGCUGGCCUGGGGACCAGUGCUCCUGCAACCCCCCUUGUCCCCAAAAGCUCAGUCCCCUGGUGUCUUUUGGCCAGUGGCUUUGCUGUCCCCGCUGCCAGCGUGAAAACGUCCGUUCUGUGUGUGUCCCCACAGUGCCUGCCACCACCCCGUGCCCUGUCCCCAUCCCUCUCGCCGCCUGUGGUGUGGGUGUAGCCAACAAAUGUGUCCAUAAAAACCCCAUCUGGGGGCGGUCCCUCCACAACCUCCUUCACCCCCAGCUCGGUGCCACCCCAAUUUGUGGCAGGGGGGUGAGGGGACCCCUGCCCCGGUGA
This 1068-nucleotide long non-coding RNA is filed under the name Anas platyrhynchos platyrhynchos (common mallard). Its description in RNAcentral is "lncRNA (ENSAPLG00000019045.1)". The record is from RNAcentral. Lineage: Eukaryota; Metazoa; Chordata; Aves; Anseriformes; Anatidae.